ACGGGUGAGUAACACGUGGGCAAUCUGCCCUUCACUCUGGGACAAGCCCUGGAAACGGGGUCUAAUACCGGAUAGCACUUCCACUCGCAUGGGUGGGGGUUGAAAGCUCCGGCGGUGAAGGAUGAGCCCGCGGCCUAUCAGCUUGUUGGUGAGGUAAUGGCUCACCAAGGCGACGACGGGUAGCCGGCCUGAGAGGGCGACCGGCCACACUGGGACUGAGACACGGCCCAGACUCCUACGGGAGGCAGCAGUGGGGAAUAUUGCACAAUGGGCGAAAGCCUGAUGCAGCGACGCCGCGUGAGGGAUGACGGCCUUCGGGUUGUAAACCUCUUUCAGCAGGGAAGAAGCGAAAGUGACGGUACCUGCAGAAGAAGCGCCGGCUAACUACGUGCCAGCAGCCGCGGUAAUACGUAGGGCGCAGGCGUUGUCCGGAAUUAUUGGGCGUAAAGAGCUCGUAGGCGGUCUGUCGCGUCGGAUGUGAAAGCCCGGGGCUUAACCCCGGGUCUGCAUUCGAUACGGGCAGACUAGAGUGUGGUAGGGGAGAUCGGAAUUCCUGGUGUAGCGGUGAAAUGCGCAGA
RNAcentral lists this ribosomal RNA (578 nucleotides) under uncultured bacterium. RNAcentral's name for it is "bacterial SSU rRNA". It matches the Rfam family "Bacterial small subunit ribosomal RNA", at positions 102 to 694 of the family's 1533-position model. The record is from RNAcentral.